AUGCAACCGUACCGCCUCAAUGCUUUUGGUCUGCGUACACAUAUUAAACUUCAGAGCAAAUACUAUGGACCUUUCCGGAUCAUCAAGAAAGUGGGUCGCGUCGCGUACAAACUGCUCUUGCCUGACACUACCAACAUACACCCAGUCUUCCAUAUUAGCCAGUUGAAGAAACAUGUCGUCCCUAAAGUUGUUCCGUGUGUAGACCUUCCCCUGGUUCGAUCAGAUGGGAUGAUUCAGACCGAACCAGUUCUCGUUCUGGAAACCCAUCAGGUACCCCGCAACAACCUGCCUGUGGUUCAGUGGCUUGUACAGUGGGCAAACCUUCCUCCUGAUGAAGCUUCGUGGGAAGACGCAUCAUUCAUGAAGAAAACGUUCCCUACAUUCUUCAAGAGCACCAUCGACAGGUGGUUCAACCGAACAACUCCUUGA
RNAcentral lists this ribosomal RNA (429 nucleotides) under Triticum aestivum (bread wheat). Its description in RNAcentral is "partial small subunit ribosomal RNA". Lineage: Eukaryota; Viridiplantae; Streptophyta; Magnoliopsida; Poales; Poaceae. The record is from RNAcentral.